Long non-coding RNA from Malaclemys terrapin pileata, 3489 nucleotides. RefSeq lists it as uncharacterized. The record is from RefSeq and is a predicted model, not a curated record. Lineage: Eukaryota; Metazoa; Chordata; Testudines; Emydidae. The transcript is spliced from 3 exons.
CUUUUCCCCAUUUUCCUCUGAGACGGAGAUUGAGAGGGUACUGCAAAGCAUGAAGCCACGUAGGUACCGGCAGCUGCUACGGAUCGUUCCCCUUAGAACCUCAUGGCGCCACAAUAGAGGUUAAAAGAAGCCAAGAGGGGAGAAGGAAAAAGAACAGAACGAGUUAACUGGAAAAAAUAGCUAGCAAGCUCAGUCCAAAGAUAAGACGCUGGCCCCAUCCAAGGGCACUGCCCGCAGCUAAGACUUGGCUGACAGCCAAGAAAAGGGGGGCCUGAAUGUGCCCAAGCAACUAUGAGAUCUGCAAAACACUGCCAGGCAUUAAUGAAAUGUGUUAGGUUGUUCUUUUCUCACAGAUAAAAGCAGUGCUAACCAAAGACCCUAGGAGCCCUGCCAUUCAUUGAAACAAGGGGACUGAGUCUACGUAAAGUCCAUCAACGAAAGACUGCUUUGGCUCCACACUGGAAAGGCCCUUUCCAAGUCCUGUUAACCACCAACACCGCUGUGAAGUGCCAAGGACUGCCUGCUUGGACCCAUGCUUCUCACUGUAAAAAGACCCCUCCACCUCGGGAGGACUCUCCGACUGAUAAUAAGCCUAUUUCUAGCUCUGCUGUGCCUUCUGGACAGCAGGAAAAAAAAAGACAAGGUGAAGUGCUAGUAACCUCUCCCUUGUCCACUGACAGACCUACUGUGCCUUUGGAUUUUUCUAGAAGAAGCAAAACCAUUACAGAGUGAUGUGCUAGUAACCUCUCCCCUGUAUGAUGCUAAACCACACUGUUUCAAGAAAAGAGAAGAAGAAACACUUGCUUCAUUGAAACCACAAAGUCCAGGGAUUCCUGACUACAAGCAACAUUAAGUACUGACCCUGGUGAAGAAACAAAGAGUUAUACACUGGCAGGAAGAAACUUGUGGGGCCCAUGCUUGGGAACGUGGUAUUGAUUGGAUUUUGGGGUUUAUUCUACAGGCUGCGCCCUGUGUUUUGGAUAAGUCCUUCAGUAUGUAUUGCCCUCCCUAAUUGGAUUUUAAAUGAUAAGUAUCAAAGGCACCUUGUUGCCAUUGCCCCUGCUAUCUCCUCCAUUACACUAUUACCCCUGUAACACAUCCAAAUACAGACAAUGUCAUAUAUUUGAUAAAACCAAUGACUAAGGCCUUCACAUUUUAGUGAUUUAUUUAAAUAUUGUUUGAAAAAAAUAUGUUUAAGGUUCAGGAUAUCCCAUAUAAGCGAACAAUUGAAUGGAUCAGGGAAGAUAAAAGUAUAUGAUAUCACUACCAGUGAACCCCAAGAAUCUGUAAUUGCAAUUGAUGGGUUCUAUAGCGAAUGUUCCUGGAAUUUGCACUGUGUUAAAAGAGAGAGGCCCUUAUUGUUAUUUGGUCAUCCAAUUAGUGAACAAUUAAACGAAUACCCAGAGUUUGUUUUGCCACUGGAAAUUUUACCUGCAUAGAAAUUAUUUCAGUGACUAAUAAUGUGACCUGUACCUUAUUGCAAUACACCCCUUCUUAUGCCAUUAAUAUCAAUGCCUCCCGGAAGUACAUAAAGGUGUUCAACCAACAGAUGUGGUAUAGUACUACACCAAAGAGAGAUGUAUUAGGAUAUCAAUGGACUGUGAUUAACACUACACUAGGGACUGUUAAAUUUUCAUUGCCCUUAUCCAGUUUCCAGAUUACCUCUACAUACCCAAAUUGCUCACAGGGGGCUGCCAUUAGAUUAGCACAACAGAGGGCUUGGGUUAUUUCUUCUAGAAAGAAGAGAGACUUGACCGGAUCCCUAUGGGAUGGGGCCAAUAGUGCAGCAGCAGUUUGGAAUAUUUUUAAGAACCAAGAACAUGAUGAGAAAUUGGGGCAACUAAAGAAGGCCAUUGGCCUUGUUUCUGGAGCACAACUAACCCAGGUACAGGCUGGAGUUGGUGAGUUACAUGUUAUUUCCGCCCUUAGUUCAAUGACCCAGAAGUUGCUGACAGAGAUGGUAUUGAAUAUCACUGAGGCUGGGAAGGCAUUGCAGUGGCAUCUAGCAUGUUCAGAAAUUCAGGAUUUCCUGAAUGACCCGCUAAUGGCCAUUCGGAAUGAUCUAGAGCAUCAGGCUUGGCCCACUGCCCUUACAGACACAUCAGGAGUACCACCUGAUCUGUGGCCAUGGAGACAUUCUUGGAGACUUUCUGGGUGGAAGUGCAGACGUUCUCAGUGCUCCUUCCAAGCAUAUGGAUUGGUUGGGGGGUUGUGGGCUCCCACAUACUGAAUCCUGCUGGGUCCAUGGGGAGGAUGCAUGUGGGAUUGGGUAAUUCACCGAGACAUCUGGGAAAUUAGACCUCCUGGUAUGCCCAAUCGAUUUUUAGUCAGUGCUCCUGGGAUUACAUCUGACAUUUGGAUGGGGUUAGGGAGUCAAUGGACGUUAGAACCCCCACAGCUUCAGUGUAUCCGUAAACUGAAGCCAGGAGAAGUUGUUACUCUUCAUGACUACGUUUGCUGGGAGGGUAGGGGACAAGGAACUACCCUGACAGGACACUUACUUUUUUCAAGCUAAUGAUAGCUGUGUAUAUGUUAAAACCACCACAUUGCAAGACAUAUAUUUUAAUCUCAUUACCACUGCAGGCAAUCAUAUUAUUUACUGGCCUGCAGAUAGAAUUUUGCAAGUAGUCCUUAGGUUCCAGAUACCCUUUAAUUGGACUAGUUUAGUACCUGAUCGGUUUCAAAAUUUGCUUUCACUGUUACCAGAGGUUCAGAAAAUCUCUGAAGUACAAGGGCAAAUUCACAUGCUUCAAAUUAUAUAUCAAGUUGAAAAGUAUGCCUUUCAGACAGCUUAUAGAGUAUCCACCUUAUGUACUAAGUAUGAUGUAUUGUGUUAUAUGACUAAGAUUGUACAACAACCCCAUCAUAUUAUCGCUAUGGGAAUGUUAUUGCUUGUGUUGUUGUUAGCUAGUGUAGGAGCAUGUUAUUGUUGUUGUAAAGGACGUAAUAAUAGUAGUAUCUUUCAUGUCCAUGCUAAUCAUGCAUUGUCAUUACAUCCAAACAAAACCCCUAAGGUUGAAGCAUCUGAAGUAGAAUCUGAAUUCCAAGACUUAAUGCAAAUAGAGAUUUGAAAAUGUUUGUUGUACUAGUAGUACAAAAGGGGGGGUUGUGGAAGCAGAGAAAGAACUGACAGGAAGGGGAUGCAAUGCAUGACAGUACGUUAGCAAGAGUUAGGCUAACUGUAACCCUAAUAACACGAGAUUUGUAGAAGCGAGGAAUGUGUGAGGCGAGUGGGAAAGAACUGUGUGAGAAGUUGUUGCAAUCUUGUGUAGAUAAUAUGGAAUGUAGACUAAGAGUCUACAUUAGUGAGCAAAACAAGAUAUCAGAAUGACCUAUGCUCAUUAUUGUCUGUAACAAAAGGUAUAAAUGCUUGCUGUAAUUGUUUACCUGUUGAGAGACCUGUUUAGCUCUCUCCCUCUAUGCAAUUGAUAGAGAGAAAAUAAAGUAUCUGAUUUGCUGUACCCAAACAAAAAGUGAGAACUCUGUUAU